Molecule: small RNA, 140 nt
Filed under: Flavobacterium noncentrifugens
Lineage: Bacteria; Pseudomonadati; Bacteroidota; Flavobacteriia; Flavobacteriales; Flavobacteriaceae
Description: Flavo-1 RNA
Rfam family: Flavo-1 RNA
Source: RNAcentral
CCCGGAUGGUAUCGGAAAGCCUUUUUUGGCGAAAACGCCAUUUUUUCUAAAGCUGCGAACGCGACCGGAGGAAGCGCUUUGCGGCUUUUUAGAAAAAAGCGUUUUUGCUGAAAAGCUUGAAGCGGACAGCCGGAUUAAGG